This 460-nucleotide ribosomal RNA is filed under the name uncultured bacterium. RNAcentral describes it as "partial 16S ribosomal RNA". It matches the Rfam family "Bacterial small subunit ribosomal RNA", at positions 338 to 795 of the family's 1533-position model. The record is from RNAcentral.
CCUACGGGAGGCAGCAGUGAGGCAUAUUGGUCAAUGGACGAGAGUCUGAACCAGCCAAGUAGCGUGAAGGAUGACUGCCCUAUGGGUUGUAAACUUCUUUUAUAUGGGAAUAAAAUGUUCCACGUGUGGGAUUUUGUAUGUACCAUAUGAAUAAGGAUCGGCUAACUCCGUGCCAGCCGCCGCGGUAAUACGGAGGAUCCGAGCGUUAUCCGGAUUUAUUGGGUUUAAAGGGAGCGUAGGUGGAUUGUUAAGUCAGUUGUGAAAGUUUGCGGCUCAACCGUAAAAUUGCAGUUGAAACUGGCAGUCUUGAGUACAGUAGAGGUGAGCGGAAUUCGUGGUGUAGCGGUGAAAUGCUUAGAUAUCACGAAGAACUCCGAUUGCGAAGGCAGCUCACUGGACUGCAACUGACACUGAGGCUCGAAAGUGUGGGUAUCAAACAGGAUUAGAUACCCUAGUAGUC